CUUCUUCUGUUUUCAAUACAAUUUUUAAUUAAUUAUUUUUUUCAAAUUGAAAAUUACUGAAUUUUUUCUCAUUUUGGUAUUCUAUGGCUGCAGGAAAAAAAUAUAUUUUCGUGGGCAUAUUUGGAUCACCUUAAGUUACAAAAAUACAUAUACUUGUAAAUAUGUAUAUGAAUGCAAAUGUAAUGAAAGAGAAAAUUAUGAAGAGCAAUCAUCACACCAAUCACCAGCUGUCAUAUUCCAAUUAAUUAAUUAAUUGUUUAUUUAUACAACGAAUGCAACGGAUAUGUGUAUAAGUACCAACAUAUGAACUUUCAUACAUACACGUAUACAGACAUAUACCCAAAAGAGUGUGGAAGACAUCAAAGUUCGUGGAGUUGCAACGGAGUUGAAGUGGUAUUUUUGUUGUUUUUGUUAUUGUUUUUUCUUUCAGCUGUAAAUGCAAUGCGACGCAUCACACGCACAACCGAUGGCUUAGUAGACGUUCAACUCAUCAAUGAGUUGAUAACUCAUAAAUCAGCCGCGUAAACAGGAAGCGACGUUGAUGAAGACGUCGAUGCAAUCUCAUCGCGCUUAUUACGUUACACGAAGUGCCGUAAUGAAGUAAAUUAUCAAGUUAAGUGUAAGGAGGAAAGCGCGGCGGUAUUUUUAUGGUCGCCUACUUGUACGAGUGCAUGGCCAGCAGAGGAAGUGUUGUAAAAUAAAAAUUGAAAUUAAUUUUUUAAAUGAUUUUUGGAAAAACUACGU
This 744-nucleotide long non-coding RNA is filed under the name Ceratitis capitata (Mediterranean fruit fly). RNAcentral's name for it is "uncharacterized LOC110118080, transcript variant X3". The record is from RNAcentral. Lineage: Eukaryota; Metazoa; Arthropoda; Insecta; Diptera; Tephritidae.